Asparagus officinalis (garden asparagus) is the source of this 1160-nucleotide RNA transcript. RefSeq lists it as uncharacterized. Lineage: Eukaryota; Viridiplantae; Streptophyta; Magnoliopsida; Asparagales; Asparagaceae. The transcript has 3 exons. The record is from RefSeq and is a predicted model, not a curated record.
CUACCUUACUGGCAAAAUCUUAAAAUCCGCCACAACUUAGAUGUCAUGCAUAUUGAGAAAAAUAUAUGUGAUAACAUAGUAUCAACUCUCCUACAAGAUGCAAACAAGUCGAAGGAUGAUCUACGGGCGCGCCAAGAUCUGACUGCUUUGAAUAUCCGAAAUGAUUUGCAAGCUCAAGAUGUUGGACUUAAAAAAUUAAAGUUGCCUCCGUCUCGUGUUACAAUGUCAAAUGAGCAGAUGCAACGAGUUUGUGAAAUUCUCAAAUCGGUAAAGUCGCCGGAUGGUUACUCUGCUAACAUUUCAAAUAAUGUCCAAGUGCAAGAGCGAAAACUCUUAGGUCUGAAGACCCAUGAUUAUCACGUUCUUCUCCAUCAAUUGCUUCCUGUUGCAAUCCGUAACAAUAUGGAUAAAGAAGCGUCGAAGAUUAUUAUUGAGUAUUGUGGGUUUUUCAGAAAAUUAUGCUCUAAAGUCAUAGAUGUAGAUGAAUUUAAAAAACUUGAAGCUGAGGUCCGAGUUACUCUAUGCAAUAUGGAAGUAAUAUUCCCUCCUUCUUUUUUUACGGUUAUGGUCCAUCUUACCCAGCAUCUUGCAAGAGAGGCUAGAAUCGCCGGACCUGUUACUUAUCGUUGGAUGUAUCCGAUUGAGAGAUACUUGGGCUCCAUGAAACAUAAUGUUCGCAAUCGAGCUCGUCCAGAAGGCUCGAUAGCUGAAGGAUACGUGGCAAAUGAAUGCUUUAUUUUUGCAUCACGUUACAUGCGCCAGAAGAAAACCACGGCUCAAGUACCAGAUAAGGAGAGAAAGCGUGAAAAAUAUCCGAGAUCUCUCUUAGAACAAAUUCAUGCAUAUGUGCUGGAAAACCUUGAUAUGUUCGCAGACUAUCGAAGGUAACAAAUAACACCCGAAAUAUAGAUGAGACUAUUCAUUUUACAUAAUGUUCGCAAUGCAAACUUAUAUAUUGUUUAUGUAGGCGACAUUUGGAGAAGCUUAAGAAUGAAACAACCGGUAGGAAUGCAGCGCAUAAUAUUCAGAAAAGACAUAGGAAAGAAUUUUCUGAUUGGUUAAGAUUUGAUGUUGAUAAAUCACUUCUUGAUGGUACUACGUUACCAGAUGAAAUUAUUAUACAUGCACAACGCCCUUAUUAUGAAGUGAGACGUUAUAAU